This 1527-nucleotide ribosomal RNA is filed under the name uncultured Verrucomicrobiota bacterium. RNAcentral describes it as "uncultured Verrucomicrobia bacterium 16S ribosomal RNA". It matches the Rfam family "Bacterial small subunit ribosomal RNA". The record is from RNAcentral. Lineage: Bacteria; Pseudomonadati; Verrucomicrobiota.
AGAGUUUGAUCCUGGCUCAGAACGAACGCUGGCAGCGUGGAUUAGGCAUGCAAGUCGAACGGGAUCGGGCCGGUAGCAAUAUUGGUCCGUGAGAGUGGCGGAAGGGCGAGUAAUGCACGGGCAACCUGCCCCCGGGAUGGGGACAACUUGGCGAAAGUCGAGCUAAUACCGAAUGCGGCGCCGCGGGGCAUCCCGCGGCUGCCAAAGGCGGGGAUCCGCAAGGACCCGCCGUCCGGGGAGGGGCCCAUGUGCCAUCAGCUAGUUGGCGGGGUAACGGCCCACCAAGGCUUACGGCUAGCUGGUCUGAGAGGACGACCAGCCGCACUGGGACUGAGACACUGCCCAGACUCCUACGGGAGGCUGCAGUCGAGGAUCAUUCGCAAUGGGCGCAAGCCUGACGAUGCGACGCUGCGUGGAGGACGAAGGCCCUCGGGUCGUAAACUCCUGUCAUGAGGGAAAAAGGUCCCGUCCGCUAAUAGCGGUCGGGCUCGAUGGUACUUCAAGAGGAAGCCACGGCUAACUCUGUGCCAGCAGCCGCGGUAAUACAGAGGUGGCUAGCGUUGUUCGGAUUUACUGGGCGUAAAGGGCGCGUAGGCGGCCCCGUGUGUCGCGUGUGAAAUCCCCGGGCUCAACCCGGGAAGUGCGCGCGAAACUGCGGGGCUCGAGCAGAGGAGGGGAGAGCGGAAUUCAUGGUGUAGCGGUGAAAUGCGUUGAUAUCAUGAGGAACACSGGCGGCGAARGCGGCUCUCUGGAAUCUUGCUGACGCUGAGGCGCGAAAGCCGGGCGAGCAAACAGGAUUAGAUACCCUGGUAGUCCCGGCCCUAAACGGUGCACACUGGGCGUGGGGGGAUUUUCACCCCCUCCGUGCCGGAGCUAACGUGUUAAGUGUGCCGCCUGGGGAGUACGGCCGCAAGGCUAAAACUCAAAGAAAUUGACGGGGACCCGCACAAGCGGAGGAGCAUGUGGCUUAAUUCGAUGCAACGCGAAGAACCUUACCAGGGUUUGACAUGUACCUGCAAGUCCCGCGAAAGCGGGAUUCCUUCGAGGGUGGUACACAGGUGCUGCAUGGCUGUCGUCAGUUCGUGCCGUGAGGUGUUUGGUUAAGUCCAACAACGAACGCAACCCCUGUGCCCAAUUGCCAGCGCGUCAUGGCGGGAACUUUGGGCAGACUGCCCGUUUACGCGGGAGGAAGGUGGGGACGACGUCAAGUCAGUAUGGCCCUUACAUCCAGGGCUGCACACGUGCUACAAUGGCCGGUACAAAGGGAAGCGAGACCGCGAGGUGGAGCAAAUCCCCAGAGCCGGCCCCAGUUCGGAUUGCAGUCUGCAACUCGACUGCAUGAAGUCGGAUUCGCUAGUAACGGCGCAUCAGCUACGGCGCCGUGAAUACGUUCCCGGGUCUUGUACACACCGCCCGUCACAUCAUGAAAGCCGUCUGCACCCGAAGCCGCCUUGCCAACCCGCGAGGGAGGCGGGCGUCCAAGGUGUGGGUGGUGAUUGGGAUGAAGUCGUAACAAGGUAGCCGUAG